AGAGUUUGAUCCUGGCUCAGGACGAACGCUGGCGGCGUGCUUAACACAUGCAAGUCACGGGGGCCCAGCAAUGGGCAACCGGCGAACGGGUGCGUAACACGUGAGCAAUCUGCCGAUUUCUGGGGGAUAGCCGGCCCAACGGCCGGGUAAUACCGCAUACGUUCUCGAGGGGGAGUCCUCUUGAGAAGAAACCUCCGGGGGAAAUCGAGGAGCUCGCGGCCUAUCAGCUAGUUGGCGGGGUAACGGCCUACCAAGCCUUUGACGGGUAGCUGGUCUGUGAGGACGAUCAGCCAGACUGGGACUGCGAGACGGCCCAGACACCUACGGGUGGCAGCAGCGAGGAAUCUUCCGCAAUGGGCGCAAGCCUUACGGAGCAACGCCGCGUGGAGGACGACGGCCUUCGGGUUGUAAACUCCUUUCGGGGGGGACGAGAAGGACGGUACCCCCAGAAGCAGCCCCGGCUCACUCUGUGCCAGCAGCCGCGGUAAGACAGAGGGGGCAAGCGUUGUCCGGAUUCAUUGGGCGUAAAGAGCUCGUAGGCGGUUCGGUAAGUCGGGUGUGAAACCUCCAGGCUCAACCUGGAGACGCCACCCGAUACUGCCGUGACUAGAGUCCAGUAGGGGAGCGUGGAAUUCCUGGUGUAGCGGUGAAAUGCGCAGAUAUCAGGAGGAACACCAGCGGCGAAGGCGGCGCUCUGGGCUGGAACUGACGCUGAGGAGCGAAAGCGUGGGGAGCGAACAGGAUUAGAUACCCCGGUAGUCC
Molecule: ribosomal RNA, 762 nt
Filed under: uncultured Acidimicrobiales bacterium
Lineage: Bacteria; Bacillati; Actinomycetota; Acidimicrobiia; Acidimicrobiales
Description: bacterial SSU rRNA
Rfam family: Bacterial small subunit ribosomal RNA
Source: RNAcentral